This 253-nucleotide ribosomal RNA is filed under the name uncultured bacterium. RNAcentral describes it as "partial 16S ribosomal RNA". It matches the Rfam family "Bacterial small subunit ribosomal RNA", at positions 524 to 776 of the family's 1533-position model. The record is from RNAcentral.
UACGUAGGGUGCAAGCGUUAAUCGGAAUUACUGGGCGUAAAGCGUGCGCAGGCGGUUCGCUAAGACAGAUGUGAAAUCCCCGGGCUUAACCUGGGAACUGCAUUUGUGACUGGCGGGCUAGAGUAUGGCGGAGGGGGGUAGAAUUCCACGUGUAGCAGUGAAAUGCGUAGAGAUGUGGAGGAAUACCGAUGGCGAAGGCAGCCCCCUGGGCCAAUACUGACGCUCAUGCACGAAAGCGUGGGGAGCAAACAGG